UCCAUGACUUCGUUGUCACACAAGAGUUUUUAUUGUUAAUAUUCCUAAAAUUGUUGAGAUGUGCAAGAAAAAGUAUUCCCAACGAAAAAGCGCCAUGGUAUUCCUCGGUGUGAUUGCAGCGUUCAUUCCGAUCGUAAUUGCACCUUACCAAAUAGGUAUUUUAAUGACAACGCCAAUUUUAUAAACUUGUGAUUACAUUCGGCAUUUUAGUUUUGUGGGCGCUACUUCUGAUGCCACCCAUUUACAUAAUCUAUAAGAAAAAGAAAUACAUUGGACUUUUGCUGCGAUAUUCAUUAGUAUGGUUAGCUUUAAGUCUCCUUAUCUUCCUUUACUUCUUUUUAAAUUCGCUUCCGGUUUUGGCCUUAUCUGGCGGUGGGAGUAACGCUUGUUUUUUUACGCUGACUGGUUCCGUGCUUGCGUUCUGCGUUCAACUGAGAUAUCAUAUUUAUAUGAAAAAGAAAAUGGAUGCUGAGGAUGCUGAAAAUGCUGAAUAAAUUAAUUAAAAA
RNA transcript from Drosophila takahashii, 506 nucleotides. RefSeq lists it as uncharacterized. Lineage: Eukaryota; Metazoa; Arthropoda; Insecta; Diptera; Drosophilidae. The record is from RefSeq and is a predicted model, not a curated record.